This 497-nucleotide ribosomal RNA is filed under the name uncultured bacterium. RNAcentral's name for it is "partial 16S ribosomal RNA". It matches the Rfam family "Bacterial small subunit ribosomal RNA", at positions 28 to 507 of the family's 1533-position model. The record is from RNAcentral.
GAUGAACGCUGGCGGCGUGCCUAAUACAUGCAAGUCGAGCGAACAGACGAGGAGCUUGCUCCUCUGACGUUAGCGGCGGACGGGUGAGUAACACGUGGAUAACCUACCUAUAAGACUGGGAUAACUUCGGGAAACCGGAGCUAAUACCGGAUAAUAUAUUGAACCGCAUGGUUCAAUAGUGAAAGACGGUUUUGCUGUCACUUAUAGAUGGAUCCGCGCCGCAUUAGCUAGUUGGUAAGGUAACGGCUUACCAAGGCAACGAUGGGUAAACGACCUGAGAGGGUGACCGCCCACACUGGAACUGAGAUACGGUCCUGAGUCCUACGGGACGUGGCAGUAGGGAAGAUGACGCAAUGGGCGAAAGCCUGACGCAGCAGUGCCGCGCGAGUGAUGAAGGCCGUCUGAUCGUAAGACCCUGUGAUUAGGGAAGAACAAGUGUGUAAGCAAAUAUGCCCGUCUUGACGGUACCUAAUCAGAAAGCCAAGGUUAACUUCGUG